Molecule: long non-coding RNA, 551 nt
Organism: Bactrocera tryoni
Lineage: Eukaryota; Metazoa; Arthropoda; Insecta; Diptera; Tephritidae
Exons: 2
Source: RefSeq, a predicted model, not a curated record
AAUUUUACGCUCAAUUUCGCACACUAUUUGUAUGGUCUUUUUGGACUGAAAUGUGAAAAUUGAAUAAUAAGUAUGCAAUUAUAAAUAUUUACCUACCUCUACGGUUGCCAAAUGACAUGGCUCAACGACUAAUAUUAAGCGCAGCGAAUGAAAGAUAAUCCACAACACUUGCAACCACACCAUGCCGCUGUCCUUUUUACUUAGCAACUCCAAAAAGAGGAAAUAUGAAGUGGCGACCAAGUGCAGCAGGCAGGAGACCAAUAUGAAGAGCACUGCCACGCCAUGGGAACUGUUGAAUAUUGAAGGGUUUUGAAGAUUUUAGGAGUAAAACUCACUUGGAUACUAAGCGCAUGCAUUUGCCCAAAGACUCGUGGGUUUCUUCAAGCAAUCUUAGUAAGGCGACUUUAUUCUUAGCUGUGUAUAUAAAGAAAAUAUGUAUGAAUUAAGUUUAAGCAAAAUAAUUAUAUAAUUUUUUAAUCUGUGUAUUUAAUGGAUUUUACUUUUUGGUUUGCUUAUGACAAAAUCAAAAAAAAAAAAUACUUCAUUUUGCA